GAACGCUGGCGGCAGGCUUACACAUGCAAGUCGAGCGGUAACAUUUCUAGCUUGCUAGAAGAUGACGAGCGGCGGACGGGUGAGUAACGCGUAGGAAUCUGCCUAGUAGUGGGGGACAACAUGUGGAAACGCAUGCUAAUACCGCAUACGCCCUACGGGGGAAAGGAGGGGAUCUUCGGACCUUUCGCUAUUAGAUGAGCCUGCGUGAGAUUAGCUAGUUGGUGGGGUAAAGGCCUACCAAGGCGACGAUCUCUAGCUGGUCUGAGAGGAUGAUCAGCCACACUGGGACUGAGACACGGCCCAGACUCCUACGGGAGGCAGCAGUGGGGAAUAUUGGACAAUGGGCGCAAGCCUGAUCCAGCCAUGCCGCGUGUGUGAAGAAGGCCUUAGGGUUGUAAAGCACUUUCAGGAGUGAGGAAGGGCGUAUAGUUAAUACCUGUAUGUUUUGACGUUAACUCCAGAAGAAGCACCGGCUAACUCUGUGCCAGCAGCCGCGGUAAUACAGAGGGUGCGAGCGUUAAUCGGAAUUACUGGGCGUAAAGCGCGCGUANGCGGUUUGUU
This 561-nucleotide ribosomal RNA is filed under the name uncultured bacterium. RNAcentral describes it as "bacterial SSU rRNA". It matches the Rfam family "Bacterial small subunit ribosomal RNA", at positions 31 to 584 of the family's 1533-position model. The record is from RNAcentral.